UUUCUUUCCCUUGGUCUCUUGUUUGAUUACAAUGAUUCUUUUGUGAAAUUUGUAGUGGGGAGUAUUAUUUUAUUUAAUUGAUGGUCGACAUUUAAUGAGAACGAAUGAUUGUAUCUGCUUCUUUGGGCAUGGGUAUUCUCCAUAACUGGUUUGUUGUGCGAGUCUGAAUAUGCUUGUAUCAGCUUCUGUAUUAAUUUGAGUAUGGGGAUUUCGACGAGUUUUGGGGGAGGAUUUCUUUAACUGGAGUUAUGAGUUUCAUUCCCAAAAUCGUUGUUUUCGUAGAAAACUUGGCUUUGAAGGCUUUAGGGAUAGGGUCAUCGAAAACACUUUUGCCGAAGAGCAGGUAGGAUUUUGAAUCAUGAUAAUGUUCCGUUACAUUUAUUUUGAAUUGGUUUAUCAUUGAUGGUGCCUAUUGGUUCUUAAAGUCCUAUGCAAGUUUUGUCCCUUAUUUAGUAUUUGAGUUGACGUGUUAUUAUUAUUAUCUUUAUUACCAUUUUAAUCUUGGUGUGGUUUGAGCCUGCAUUUGUUGUUAUAAAUGGGUGAAUGUUUGUUGUGAUGUAAUGAGGAAAGGUUAGAUUGCUGGGUUGGUUUGUUGUAUUUAGAAAUGGGAAUGGAUGCAAGAUGUUUGAUAAAAUGCUCAAAUGAGCUGAUUUGGUUAGAUUGAUGUGUAAAAAACCACUUGACACCUGACAGGCUCUAAGUGCUCCUCUUGAUGAAAAGAAUGGUGGAAUUUCUUUAAUAUUUAUCGAUGCUUAUCAGCUGGAAACUAACUUUAAUAAACACCUUGCCAGUUAAGGAAACUGACACUUGCAUUCUUCUAUUAGUGUAUUUAUGCUCAAGUCAGAUUGCAGUUUGUGUUUAUUAAAAAUUUAUGGGUUUUGUUUUUUUGGUUUGCAUGUCAUUAUUUUUUUUUUUUUUUCAUUGGUAGGAAAAUUUUUCUUACUGAAAUUGUUGAGUUGAUAUUUAUUUUGAUGUAGCUAAGUUCUUGAUCAGUCCUAGACCUUGAGUAUACUAAACCAAACCAACCUAUUUGCAAGACUUAAAAAAAGAGACUAUCUAAAAAACUUUGACAGUUUUUUCUCCAGUUUAAUGCAUUUGUGUUUGCAUUGUUUGAAUCUAUGCCUAAUUAUAAUAUACCAAUUAGAAUGUAAAAGGAAAAAAAUAGAUGGAUUUGGUAAAUAAUAUUGUUGAUAAUAGUACUGUGUUUGUUUUACAUUGAUUUGAAUUCUAAUUACCCAUGAGUUGCUUUAUGCCUCAAUUCUGAAAAACAACAUCAAUGCUGUUGUUUUGUACUCUGUUUUUUGUUAUAGGUUUUUCUAAUAAGUUUUAUGAAUUUCUACAUAAAUAUGUUUAGAUGUCUCAUAUCAUAAUUUUUGUAUGAACUGAAGCAUCUAUACAACUUUUUAUACUCAAGUCAGACUGUAGUUUGUGUUUAUUAAAAAUUUAUGGGUUUUAUUUUUUUGGUUUGCAUGUCAUUAUUAUUAUUAUAUUUUUCAUUGGUAGGCAAAUUUUUCUAAACAUGUCAGUCCUAGACUUUGAGUAUACCAAACCAAACCAACCUAUUUGCAAGACUUAAAAAAAGAGACUAUCUAAAAAACUUUUGACAGUUUUUUCUCUAGUUUAAUGCAUUUGUGUUUGCAUUGUUUGAAUCUAUUCCUAAUUAUAAUAUACCAAUUAGAAUGUAAAAGCAAAAAAAUAGGUGGAUUUGGUAAAUAAUAUUGUUGAUAAUAGUACUGUGUUUGUUUUAUAUUGAUUUCAAUUCUAAUUACCCAUGAGUUGCUUUAUGUCUCAAUUUUGAAAAACAACAUCAAUGCUGUUGUUUUGUACUCUGUUUUUUGUUAUAGGUUUUUCUAGUAAGUUUUAUGAAUUUCAUGAAACUUAGAGAUUGAUGUAAUGCAUAGAUAGGUUAUAUAUUAAUAUAAACACAGAAAAGGCAGUAAAACUGACCUUUUUAAUAUACCUUCAAACCUUUGCACCACUGCACUGCUUCACCACACCUAAUUUGAGAGAGAGAGAGAGAGAGAGAGAGAGAGAGAGAGAGAGAGAGCAUGGAUAAGUUUUCUGAAUUGAGUUUUGUGAUAGACUUAUACUAUAAACACACAAAAGAAAGUUAGACUCACUUUUCAAUCUUCCUUCAAACCAAGGAAAUCGUAGCACCAAUGCACUGAAAGUAAUAGAAGGUAUCGGUCACUUUCAAAAUGUUAGCACCAUUCCACUUAAAGUAAUAUAAGGGUUUUCUUAAACCCCUUUCAACGCCUUUCCAAUUAACACAUAAAAAAAAUAAUAAAUAAAUAAAAAAUUCAUUUGUCUUCCAUUUUCUCAAAUUUUCCUCUUUAUGAUUUUAACGAUUUAACUGAAUCAUUACCUUUUUAUUUUGGAAAACACUACUUCCAUGUAAGAUUUCAACUGAAUCAUUACCUUUUUAUUUGCUAUAAUUUUAAUGUAUUUUAUAAAUAUAGACAUAAAAAUUCUACAAAUAUUUGGAUUGUUAGAUUAUGAAGAUAUUAAAGUUUACAGUUAUGUAAAAUUGAAACUAAAACAAUAAUUUCUUUGAGAUUAAUACAAUAAUAAUCAUUAAAAUUAAAUUCUAGCUUGCAAAUAAUAAUAACUAUAAAUAUAAAUAAUUUUUUUUUUCCUGAUAUUUAAAAGAGAUAAAAAAAAGUGUGUCAAAAAUUAUGAUAAUUAAAAUAAAAAUGUAGAAGACACAAAACAUAAAUGUGGUGUCGUAAGAACCAUUGCAGAACUUAGUUGGCUGUAGAUGCAUUGAUGUUGUUAAUUAUAAGUAGUCAUGAAACACCAGCUUGAUUGACAUGUGUUGAGGAUGAGCUUAGCGAGAGGGUGAAAUGGUGGCAAGUGGCAAGUCAGUUUGGCAACUUCUGCAUGUACUACUAAUUCUAUAUUUUCUAGUUAUCUUCUAAGUCAGACAAACUGAAUUUCGAACUCGAUCUAAUUACAUGUCCUAAUGAGUCAUUCUGCCAAAGCUGUACAAAGUAACUAUUUGAUGCCAGAAAGUUCUGUCCAUUCUACCUAAGGAUGCUCGAAUGAGGCGGUGGGCCAUUAAGAAAACAAUAAAAUAUUAUAUGAAAUUUGAGUAAAACUAAAUAGGUGUAAAGUUAUAAAUUUGUCGUUUUCAAGGUGCUUUACAGCUUGCAUGAUGGUGAUAUCUUGGCAGGAUAGUUUUUCUCAAAUCAGUUUUACGCUCACAUAAAUUUCUCUCUUCUUCAAUUCUGAUUUCCCUUUCUCUCCCUCCCCACCUCUCUAUCGAUCUCUCUCUCUCUCAAACAACUUCAUCUUCUGUCCAGAUUUCUUUCUUUGUCCCUAUAUUUCAAUGAUCUCGAUGGCACUGUAUUUCUAUCUCUAAACCCAUUUUCGGACCUCCAUUUUUCAUAUUGAGAAGGAGUUAAGAAGCAAGUGCUAUUUUCAUGGUUCUACAAUUUAUCACUAUAGGAUGAAGCACUUCUCCAGCUUCCAUUCUAAUGCAUGGACAAUAUGCAGAAAUUCAAUAGCUGGCACACAUACAAAAGGGGAAAAAUAAGAGCAAAUGUGACCGUAAUUUUUCCAAAUUGUAAUUUAUUAUAAUUUUUUGCCAUUAUAAUGUAUAAGAAAACACAAUGGUAUCCCUGCUUAGAGGAAGCGUAUAUAAUUUGCCACUGUUUUUCUCCAAAAUUUUCAAUUAUUAUGUAAUAGAAUUUAAACAGACACAAAUGGCCACUAAUGGAUAUAUUAGAUUUGGCACUGUAUUUUUCUAGAUUUUAAAUUAUUAAAUAAUGGAAUUCAAGCA
This is an RNA transcript of Carya illinoinensis, 3781 nucleotides long. RefSeq lists it as uncharacterized. Lineage: Eukaryota; Viridiplantae; Streptophyta; Magnoliopsida; Fagales; Juglandaceae. The record is from RefSeq and is a predicted model, not a curated record. The transcript is spliced from 3 exons.